UUAGAUGAUGAUGAUGAAUCUGAAGAGAGUUUAGAUGAUGAUGAUGAUGAUGCAUUUGAAGAAGAUUUGGAUGAUGAUGAUGAUGAUGAUGAUGAUGAUGAUGAUGAUGAUGAUGAUUCAUCUCCUGUUUCUGAUGA
Molecule: unclassified non-coding RNA, 137 nt
Filed under: Arabidopsis thaliana (thale cress)
Lineage: Eukaryota; Viridiplantae; Streptophyta; Magnoliopsida; Brassicales; Brassicaceae
Description: small nucleolar RNA R78
Source: RNAcentral